AUUGAGACCAUACUAGCUGUGGAUAACCCAAAUAUGAUAUACCCUCAUGGGGUAGCAGUUGUGUGAAGUUGGGAAGACUGGAGUAAAAUGGAAUGUUCUAGUACUCUAAGGAAAGGAGAUAUUACCUUUUACCAGUGUACGAGUCAUGUUUUAAAUGUUUGCGUUGAGGUUAGAAGUCAGGUCAUCUCUUUGUGUACUCUUUACUCUUCACUAGUAAUUUGUUAAUUCAGUCAUCAAGCUUCUAGGUAGUAGCCAGACAACCUUAGCUGUCUCCUGUCCCCAUCUAUAAAAUGGUUAUCAUGCCCACCCUACUGUCAAAGUAUAAAUAUUUACUGGAAGCUCAUUUUAGAAAUAAAUACAAAAAAAAAAAAAAAAGACAUGGGCCCUACCUUCAUAGAAUUGAUUGUCUUGCCUUAGAGAUGAAAGUGAGAAAUAAAUAAUAUUGUGAAAAAAGUUUUUGUUCCCUGAGAAUUAGAUACAGAUCCAGGGGCAAUGUAGCUGCUACUUUUGUCACUGCAUUGCUUGCUAAUCAUGUUCCCUGGAUAGACUUGUCCUUUCCCUUCCAUGGCCCAGAUCUCCUGCAGCUGCAUGUUGGGUUUGAGAGGACAACCUUUCCAGACAAAGAUCAUUCUUUGUUAUGGGUACACACA
RNAcentral lists this long non-coding RNA (650 nucleotides) under Homo sapiens (human). RNAcentral describes it as "HSALNT0200442". Lineage: Eukaryota; Metazoa; Chordata; Mammalia; Primates; Hominidae. The record is from RNAcentral.